GUAGGUGGCAAGCGUUGUCCGGAAUUAUUGGGCGUAAAGCGCGCGCAGGCGGUUCUUUAAGUCUGAUGUGAAAGCCCACGGCUCAACCGUGGAGGGUCAUUGGAAACUGGAGAACUUGAGUACAGAAGAGGAAAGCGGAAUUCCACGUGUAGCGGUGAAAUGCGUAGAGAUGUGGAGGAACACCAGUGGCGAAGGCGGCUUUCUGGUCUGUAACUGACGCUGAGGCGCGAAAGUGUGGGGAGCAAACAGGAUUAGAUACCCUGGUAGUCCACGCCGUAAACGAUGAGUGCUAAGUGUUAGGGGGGUUUUCCGCCCCCCUUAGUGCUGCAGCUAACGCAUUAAGCACUCCGCCUGGGAGUACGGCCGCAAGGCUG
This 374-nucleotide ribosomal RNA is filed under the name uncultured organism. Its description in RNAcentral is "partial 16S ribosomal RNA". It matches the Rfam family "Bacterial small subunit ribosomal RNA", at positions 527 to 896 of the family's 1533-position model. The record is from RNAcentral.